AGGGCCGCAUCUGCGUCAGGUUCCCCGCAAGGGGAUCAAAAGGGAACGGGGUUCAAGACCCCGGCUGCCCCUGCAACUGUGAGCGGCGAGCCAUCGAGGCACAGGCCAUUGGAAUCGAUGAUUCCGAGAAGGCGCUUCGAAUACGGCAUUGACCCGCAAGCCAGGAGACCUGCCUGUCGCGGUCGUUCUUC
This 191-nucleotide non-coding RNA is filed under the name Sphingobium cupriresistens. Lineage: Bacteria; Pseudomonadati; Pseudomonadota; Alphaproteobacteria; Sphingomonadales; Sphingobiaceae. The record is from RNAcentral. RNAcentral also lists the same sequence under 1 other name.